AUUGAGAGUAUGUUGUUCUUCGUCUUUUCCCAACCCUAAUUUUUAUCUAACCUAAACCCAACCUAGCUUGACCCAUAACCACCCCUUAAAUAACUAAUAGAAUAAGUUAACACCAAAUUGUUCCUAAGCUUCUAUUUAGCAAACUAGUCAGGAAGAGGAUAAGCCUUAUUUAAUGAGUUUUGUUGCAAGCUAGAGCCUAAUUUCAAGAUUCAAGUUUGAACCAAAUAUCUAUUAUUAAUGGAUAGGUCGAAGCCUAGCCUAGUAACAGUAGCAUGUUUGAUAGUAGGUAAGAUUCAAAUUAAGUUUUAGAAAUCUAUAUCCAAAUUUGAUCGAUAUCUUGGAGUCUAUGAUUAUAUGUCAACAGUAUUGAGUAGAAAAUAUUAUUGAUCUUUCGGCC
RNAcentral lists this long non-coding RNA (397 nucleotides) under Elaeis guineensis (African oil palm). RNAcentral describes it as "long non-coding RNA (EGUI_LNC034427)". Lineage: Eukaryota; Viridiplantae; Streptophyta; Magnoliopsida; Arecales; Arecaceae. The record is from RNAcentral.